CCUACGGGUGGCAGCAGUGAGGAAUAUUGGUCAAUGGGCGCGAGCCUGAACCAGCCAAGCCGCGUGAAGGAUGACUGCCCUACGCGUUGUAAACUUCUUUUAUCAAGGAAUAAAGUCAGGCGCGAGUGCCUUUUUGUAUGUACUUUAUGAAUAAGCAUCGGCUAACUCCGUGCCAGCAGCCGCCGUAAUACGGCGGAUCCGAGCGUUAUCCGGAAUUCUUGGGUUUAAAGGGAGCGUAGGUGGGGUGUUAAGUCAGUUGGGAAAGUUUGGGGGCCCAACCUAAGAGUGCAAUUGAUACUGGCAGUCUUGAGUAGAAGUGAGGUAGGCGGAAUACGUGGGGGAGCGGUGAAAUGCUUAGAUAUCGCGAAGAACUCCGAUUGCGAAGGCAGCUUAC
RNAcentral lists this ribosomal RNA (394 nucleotides) under uncultured bacterium. Its description in RNAcentral is "partial 16S ribosomal RNA". It matches the Rfam family "Bacterial small subunit ribosomal RNA", at positions 338 to 729 of the family's 1533-position model. The record is from RNAcentral.